RNAcentral lists this ribosomal RNA (324 nucleotides) under uncultured bacterium. RNAcentral describes it as "bacterial SSU rRNA". It matches the Rfam family "Bacterial small subunit ribosomal RNA", at positions 30 to 352 of the family's 1533-position model. The record is from RNAcentral.
AUUGAACGCUGGCGGCGUGCCUAACACAUGCAAGUCGAGCGGUAACAGGUGUAGCAAUACAUGCUGACGAGCGGCGGACGGGUGAGUAACGCUUGGGAAUCUGCCUAUUAGUGGGGGACAACCCGGGGAAACUCGGGCUAAUACCGCAUACGCUCUACGGAGGAAAGCCGGGGACCGCAAGGCCUGGCGCUAAUAGAUGAGCCCAAGUCGGAUUAGCUAGUUGGUAGGGUAAUGGCCUACCAAGGCGACGAUCCGUAACUGGUCUGAGAGGACGACCAGUCACACCGGAACUGAGACACGGUCCGGACUCCUACGGGAGGCAGC